This 543-nucleotide ribosomal RNA is filed under the name Fusarium oxysporum. RNAcentral's name for it is "eukaryotic LSU rRNA". The stretch from base 179 to 332 matches the Rfam family "5.8S ribosomal RNA". The record is from RNAcentral. Lineage: Eukaryota; Fungi; Ascomycota; Sordariomycetes; Hypocreales; Nectriaceae.
UCCGUAGGUGAACCUGCGGAGGGAUCAUUACCGAGUUUACAACUCCCAAACCCCUGUGAACAUACCACUUGUUGCCUCGGCGGAUCAGCCCGCUCCCGGUAAAACGGGACGGCCCGCCAGAGGACCCCUAAACUCUGUUUCUAUAUGUAACUUCUGAGUAAAACCAUAAAUAAAUCAAAACUUUCAACAACGGAUCUCUUGGUUCUGGCAUCGAUGAAGAACGCAGCAAAAUGCGAUAAGUAAUGUGAAUUGCAGAAUUCAGUGAAUCAUCGAAUCUUUGAACGCACAUUGCGCCCGCCAGUAUUCUGGCGGGCAUGCCUGUUCGAGCGUCAUUUCAACCCUCAAGCACAGCUUGGUGUUGGGACUCGCGUUAAUUCGCGUUCCUCAAAUUGAUUGGCGGUCACGUCGAGCUUCCAUAGCGUAGUAGUAAAACCCUCGUUACUGGUAAUCGUCGCGGCCACGCCGUUAAACCCCAACUUCUGAAUGUGACCUCGGAUCAGGUAGGAAUACCCGCUGAACUUAAGCAUAUCAAUAAGCGGAGGA